GAUUUUUCUUUAAUGAAAAGGAUUCGUUUUUCCAAAUUCUAUUUCCAAAGCCGAGGAGAUUGCCGGGCUGGAGCGCAUCGUUGGUGACGCUUGCCCGUCGGACCCUGGCAGCGGCUGGAGGAGGCUCAGCCCAUCGGUCCGUCCGGAGGGGCUUGCGGGAGGGGUUGGUUUGUUUGGGAUUUAGGGGUUGGUUGAGGAUUUGUUUUGUUUAGGUAGGGAGUAUUGGGGUGAUAAGUUAGAACAACUGCGAAACGAGUUAGCGGGCGCAUUCGGCCGGCCUCUUCUUUCACCCCCGACUUCAUGCGGCUUGGGCUGAGGGCGGACCACAUUCGGCCCCGCCGCUGCGUGCCGGCUUCGUUCCGGCCGAAAUUUGAAAGGAGGAAAAACGACGCGAUCGACUGAAGGACCCUGCCGGCCGGGACUGGUCACCCGCAGAGAAGGAAGAAGGACGAGGAUGCGGAUGGCGGCGCUGGUGGCAGGGACCGGCGUCUCUGUGCGCGCGGGCCGGGACCGCGAUCCUCGCGCUGGGGCCAGCCAGCCGCCGCCCCGAGAGGUCUCGCCCGCGCUGAGCCCUGUCCCUGGGGCCCCCGCCCCUGUUGCGCCCGGAGCUCAGCCACAGAUGUCCAGCCACAAUUCUCGGUUGGCCGCAGACUCGUACAAGAAUUGCGUUUGGACAAUCAGUGGCGAAGCCCCUGAGUUCAGGGCCCUGGUCUCCUGCGGGGUUCCCCUUCGCUCCUAAAAAGCGCCAGUCCAGGACAGCUCGGAGCUGCGCGUCGGACCACCUAGCAGGCGCUCAGCAGCGGCUGCCCAUCCGGCGCUGCAUGGAAACCAAAGGCCUCUGGAGCCCCCUCCCUAGGCCCCUGCCCAGGGGCUUCCACUGGAGGGUGAGGGGGAACAGUCUGGAAGUCAGAGGGUCACCCCCUGAGAAGACCAUGCUGAAGGAUAAAGGAGAAGGGGGUACAGUCCCCACCCCUGGGCUGAGGAUGCCAUCCCUGGAGACCACACCCCACGCGGGAGCUGGAGCCUGCCCCCUCCCCCGACCAAGGACCAGAGCUUGAUUCCCAGGCUCCAGCAGGCUCCUGGGUACCUCGGGGCUAGCAGCAAGGGUGGGGGGAGGGGAGCAGGUGGGUGUGAGAGGGGCGUGGAAUCUGUGAAUGCUUGUCUUGUCAUUGUCUCUUCCAUUGGACAGUCCACCCAUCCAGGAGAGCAGGGGCUCUGUCCAAGGUCUAAUGCGCCCCCAGCCCCACCCCCAGCCUGGUCUGGCAGAGACGGUUCUCAGUCUAUUGGGUAAAUACAUAGCCAGCUUCUCACCCCCAAAGCCCAGCCUGUCUUUCCCAAUGAACCUCACACCCUAAAGUGGGAGUGUGUGGCCAUUUUUCCCAUACAGCCUGCCUUCCAUUCACCCCAGAGUUCUCCAAGCACCCAGAAUACCCCUGCCUCUGUCCUGGCACACCAAGCUGCCUUGCUCUGAAAUGCUCUCCUGUCCUCACAAUCUCUGGGUGGCCUUGCCACGUGCCCGGCUGAAUUGUGAAUAUCGGUUUGUCUGAGUCUCCUCCCUAGGACAGGAAACGGGUCCUACGGAUCUUUGUGCCUCCAGGGCCUAGUACAGUGCCCUCCCCCCAACCAAUCAUUAAAUAUCUGUGGGUGGUUGCACGCAUGCCCGGUGACUUUAAAAUGAGCCACAUAGACUUCUUGGAGUUUCUUAUAAAAGUUGAAAGAAUGUUGCUUGUGGGAGGUAAUUCUUGCAGCCCGGGUUUUACAGGGAGGGAGUCCUGCUAACCAGAUCCCAACUCCUGGGAAUGCUCCAUUUGGUAAUAAUAACAGCAAAGAGUGUAUUGUGUGCCAAGCACUAAGCUCUUUGAAGGUAGUAGCUCACUGAUUCCUCACAACAACCCUGGAAAGUAAGUGCUGUUAUCAGCCCCAUUUUACAGAUGAAGAAACUGCAGAGCCCUCCUUCCUUAGGCUCCUCCCUGGAGCUUCCAGCUGGAGAGGGAGGGGGAGCAUUCUGGAGGUCACAGGGUCACUCCCUGAGAAGACCAUGCUGGAGGAUAAGACAGAAGGCAUGCAGCCCCAAUCCCCAACCUCCAGAGACCGCACCCACUAGGGAUCUAGAAACCCAGAGCUUUAGGACUUGCUGCACACUCUAGUUUCCAAGCCUUUAUUUAGUGGGUACAGAGGGGAUGGAUGUAAAUGCACUUAAAACGGCUAGACCCAGGAGACACUCUGUGUCACCUUAUAUUAAUACAUUAUAAUCCAGUCCCAGCCCACCCCAGCCUGGCAUGAACACAACCAAGAUGGACUGGGCAACAAUAGUCUCUGAUUACCAGGUGCCAUGGCUGGUGUCCAUAAUCCCAACACUUUGGGAGGCCGAGGCUGGAGGCCAAGGCAGGAAGAUUGCUUGAAGCCUGAAGUUAAAUACCAGCCUGUGACAGGUGAGGUGACUCAUGCCUGUAAUCUCAGCACUUUGGGAGGCCGAGGCGGGCGGAUCACUUGAGCCCAGGAGUUCAAGACCAGCCUGGGCACAUGGCAAAACCCCAUCUCUACUAAAAACACAAAGAUAAGCCGUGUGUGGCGGCAAGCGCCUGUAAUCCCAGCUACACAGAAGGCUGAGAUAUGAGAAUCACUUAACCUGGCAGGUGGAGGUUGCAGUGAGCCUAGAUCGUGCCACUGCACUCCAGCCUGGGCAACAGAGAGACUUGGUCUCAAAAAAAAAAAAAAAAA
Molecule: long non-coding RNA, 2721 nt
Filed under: Homo sapiens (human)
Lineage: Eukaryota; Metazoa; Chordata; Mammalia; Primates; Hominidae
Description: HSALNT0354989
Source: RNAcentral